This is a small nuclear RNA of Alnus glutinosa, 155 nucleotides long. RefSeq annotates it as U4 spliceosomal RNA. Lineage: Eukaryota; Viridiplantae; Streptophyta; Magnoliopsida; Fagales; Betulaceae. The transcript has a single exon. The record is from RefSeq and is a predicted model, not a curated record.
AUCAAACAAAGGAUUAGGACACGUUGAGAGAGGUUCUAACCAAGGCAUGUCUAUUGCUGGUUGAAAACUAUUUCCAACCCCCCUCUUAGGCCUCCCCUCUUAGGCCUGGGUUUGGCCCUGGCCUUCGAGAAUUUCUGGAAGGGCUCCCUUUAGCC